AAACGGAAGUGAGACAUAUUGGAUAUUUGAAUCCUUACAUAAACAUCAUGGUUCAAUUUUAUCCUUGUCUGAUUUUCAGCACUGUCAUUCAAGAUAAUCAUGAUGUUGUGUAGAUACUCCAAAAGAGAAUGAGCUAAAAUAUUAUGAGUUUCUAAAGCAAAAGACUCAAAAAUCUAAUACAGUUCAGAAUAAGACUAAGGUAGAACAUACAGUAGUCUUCAUAUCUAUAAAAGGCUGCUGCAAGAAGGGAAACAACCCAUUCUUCAUUAUCCAUGGGGAAUAGAAAAGAAGCAAGGGGCUUAUGUAAAAGAUACAUUCUAAUUUAAAUGACAGUUAAGGCCUGGAACAAAUUUAGGCAAGUGUUCCAUAUAGGAGGGAUUUUCUGUACCAGCUAUUUGUUAGAUAGUAGAUAGUCCCUCUGGAUGAAUUUUACUGUAUCUGAAGCAUUACAAUUCACUCUUCACUAUUUUAGAAGGAUGCUUCUUGUCGCUGACUGUAUAUUUUUAUGAAAAACGAUUAAAUGUAUAUUUAAAAGCCAUACAUAGCCAGUCAGAAUUUUAUAUUUUUAUAUAUAUAUAUAUGUAUAUGUGUGUGUUACUCUGUUUUGCCCAAAAUUUUUUGCACUGUGAACUGUUAAACUAGACAUGAAUGAAUGAUUCCAACAAGAAAGGAAAAGUUUCUGGUUUUGGUUUUUGUUUUGUUUUGGUUUGGGUUUUUUUCAGUAUUACAAGCAAUGGAUUUAUGUUAAGUGGAAGUUGAAUCUGUCUAUGAACGAGUCAGAGGGUAAAAACUGGCAAGACUCCCUCAGUAUUUCAGAAAUACUUAGAUUUCUUAGCUCUGUGUAGAAGCCUUUUUGGCUAUACUGCCAAGUCAGGAGGGGCAACUUUAACUUUUUGAAGAAAUGUUGUUUUAAAGCUAAAAUAAAUGUCAUGCAGAAAUCAUAAUGCUUAAUUUGUGUCUUAUCAAAGUGUAUGACCAUUGACUCAGCUGUUGUCAUAAAGAUGCAAAGAGGGAAAUGUUGCUAACAUUUUCCAGAAACAUCAGCAACAUCUUUCAAUGAACUGAAGUAAACUAGAUCAAGACACAAAUAUUUUCAUAUUAUGAAUGCUUCCUGUGAAUAUUAUGUAUAUUUUUUCCCAGGAGUGCACAGAGAUUUUGUGUAAAAUGCUGUACUAUGUGAUAAUUCCAAAGCAGCAGAAAAAUAUUAAAGAAAACUCAGGCAAAGGGGUGAGUUGUGUGUUCGCCUCAACUAAAAAUUCUGAAUCUUUGAAAGUUUCUGUAAACAUUUAAUACCACCGUAAUAGGAUUCUAUUUUUACACACAUUUAAAUGAGCAAAGUUUUGGAAGGUUAGCUUCGAACUUGGCAACCUCCUACUUUACAAAUAAGUGUGCUGCAACAUGCCUUGGAGUUCAGCAUUAGAGGAUGACCUAUACAUGUGUAAGGACUUCUUUCUAAGGUUGCUUUUUCUGCUGCUACGGACUCUAUUGCCUGUUUUAGAAAGUAGACUUGCAGUUAAUGGUACUCACCAGUCAGAUUUACAGCUUUGGUAACAACUGGUUACUGAAGAACCUGCAAUUUCCUCUUUUAUUAGUCUAUUUUUGGUGGAAAUUCAGUUUCAGUUUUCAUUUAUAGAUCUGGUUCAAAGCCUAAGCAAGGAACAUACAGAAAAAUUGUAUAUGUCUUUCCUUCUCUUAAUUUUGCCACUGAUCUUAGUUUUGUGAAGGCAAAGCAAUGCAAAUGCCUUUAGGGAAAAUUAGAAAGCCAUUCCAAAUUUUUUUUUCAAUCCCUCUGCACAAUUACCUUAGUGUUAUCUUUUCUCACAGGUGAAAGAAGAAAACAGCCAGUGAAAGCUUACUGGGAACUAAAUGCUGGAACCAAACUGACUUAACAGUAGGAAACAAACCAGUGUCUUCUCAUCUAAUAUUUAUUGCUCGUUUCUUUGUGACUUCACCUCCCUGGAAUGUCAUUGUACCUAAGAGGCAGAGAGGAGGGAAGUCAAGAUCCUAGGUUUUACUAAACUGAAGAUUCUACAGAUGAGUCAAUCCAAAUGAGAGGAUCUAGGACUUCAUGUGACAGGACACAGUUCUGCAGGAAUCAGAACAAGGAAUGGAAGGAACAAAAGAAGAAAGAAAAUAAGAUGAAAAUACAUACUAAAUCAAGAUGUUCACUGUGAAUCUGUAGUUAUAUGUAAGAUUAGUCCUAUGCCUGAUCACCUUUAUACAUAAUUUUAUACAAUUGUCACUAGGAAGUCAAAGAACACAGGUAAAAAAGGACUUUUUUCCUUUUCAGUGUCAUGAAAUUUAUUUGCUUCGUUGAUUUGUUUUCUGAAAAAGUCUGCUGUCAUAAUAGAAUAUUUAGUGGGAGACAUCAUAACAAGAAAUACUGUCUGCUGAAUGUUCUCAAUUACUUACUAACUAGGGAAUGAGAGAGUACUCUGGGAACAAUUAAUCUGUUGAUGCUGGAGUCAGAUAUCACAGUACAAAGUAUUUUAGUGUCUUCAGGUUUACGUCUUAUGGCUAUGGAGACUUGAUUGCAUUUUUCUGAUUCAUAUUGAAGACUCCUGACAUCUGAGCAAAGCCACUUUGGGGAAUAUUGUAUAUGUUUUCAUAGUCCCUCCUCAAGAAACCUCAUUGCUGAAUUGGAAGCAAACUGACCAGUGAACUUCAAUAAGACACCAUGUGAAAGUAAUCAACUUAUGCUAAUGUUUCCCAGCCAGUAGAGAAUUUUUCUAAAGUGGAUUAGUAGAUAGGACUGGUAGGUUUACUCCAUGGCUGAAGCACCUGUAGCAUCUGUUACAUUAAGGUGUCAGAGAGUACUUCAGAUAACGUGCAGCCAAUGUACUCUCUCCUUCACUAAAAUCUAGAUUGGGCCCCAAAAGGUCUUUAUUUAUAAUUUCUUUCUCUCUUCUUCUAUUCUUUUCACUUCCUUUUCUUUCUCUCAAGGAAGUAUGUCCUGUGUAUAAAUUGAAAGCCUAGAUUCUUUCAUUCAGCUACACACAGACAAAGAUAGGGAGGUGAACACUGAACAGAGAAAAAGAAUUGUCUUAUUUUGAUGGUGGUUCAUGAAAAGAAAGGAAUUCAUGUUACUUUUUGGACCCUUACUAUCAAAACCUCAGAAGCAGAGGAAAAUAUGACUGACCGGAAAUAUUUGUUUUUGAAGGUUUGCAACUAUGACAUUUGAGCAUUUUUCCCGGUCUCACGUUGAUACCAGACUAACCUUCAAGUAUAUACAUGUGGAAAAGUUCUAAUGAGUUGGGUUUGUGUUUAGCUUCACAUUUGACAGAAUCAUAGAAUCGUUAAGUUUGGAAAAGACCUUUAAGAUCAAGUCUGACCAUCAACCUAUUUGCCUCACCAUGUUUACUGUUAAACCAUGUCCUCAAGUGCCAUAGCCACAUGUUUUUUGAAUGCUUCCAAGGAUGGUGACUUCACCACUUCCCUGGGCAGUCUGUUCCAAUACUUUACAAGCCUUUUUGUGAAGAAAUUGUUCCUAAUAUCUAAUCUAAACUGUUCCUGCUGCAGCUUAAGGGUAUUUCCUCUUGUCCUGUGAAGAUGUUUCUGUUUUCUAGGAAGGUAUUUAAGGGACUGGAACAUCUUUUUUAUGACGCUGAGGGAGCUGGGACUAUUCAGCCUGGAGAAGUCUCAACCAUCUCAUCAACAUAUCUAAAUACCUGAUGGGAGGGAAUGAAGUUGAGGGAACCAAGCUUUUCUCACUUGUGCCCAGUGACAGGACAAGAGGCAAUGGGAAUGCAUGACAGACAGUGAGUUCCCAGAAUUAUAACAGAUUUGUGGUGUGAAGAGGCAAUUUGAGAAAGAGGGUGUCAGUGAACAACAGAUCUGCACCUCUGCUUCUUAGGCCUUCAUACAAAUAUCUCUUCGUACUGGAAAAGUAUCCAGAAGGUACUUUUGAGUGACAGCAUGAACACUAUUUUUUUGUAUUAUUUCAUGUUAUGCUAGAAAUAUUACAAGAGAACUGUGACUCAUUGUUUGUUACAGAUGUUGAUGUAGCUUUGCUUCUGACUUUAGCUACCAAUAUUUCCUCCUGAUGUCAAGAUCUACUGUGAUGGGAAGCUAGCAUGAUUGUUUCAAUACAGUCACAAAUUCUCACAGACGUUAGCACCACAAUGACACUGUGAAAGACUCAGUCGAGCUGUGGGAUCUGGAACUGCCGGUGGGAAGAAACAAACUGGUAAAAGCUCCGACUGACUGUAAAUCUUACUGCAGACAGCUAUACCCUGAGCACCUUCUCCCUCCACACGUUUCCUCACAUGCCUACACCAUAUGUCAGAUGAGACUCUGAGGUGAUUAAACCAGCAAUGCCCCAAUGCACAAAGUAGACCUAAGUAACCAUUUCAUAAACAGCUCCUGCAAUCUUGUGCCUUUCCCUGAUGGAAACCAAGAAGUCCUUUAAUUUGUAGAAGAUGAUUCACUAAGCUGUCCAUAGUCAUGCCUAAGUGUUUGUCCUGUGUAGUCACCAGUUACUCUACACCACGAACAAAUACGAGUACUGUGAAUUACUAGUCCUCGUGUCCGUUACCAUGCUUUUACCAUUGUCAAUGUAAUCUGCUGUCAUGUUUGCCAGAUUCUCUAGCUUUGUUGUAUCACUUCAUGCUUCUUCAAUGUCCUAAUGAUUUUGGCUGGAAAUAACUUUUCUUCACCAAGAAAGCUAGCAGUUUUUCCUAGUCAAUGCCACAUCCUUUUGACUAACACCGUCUCAGGGUCACUCACUGAUACAGGAAAGCAAGGUAUCUUUGCUUACUUACCAUCUUCCCAGUUUCCUCUUUGGACAGAACUUUGCCUGCCACCACAUGAGUACUUCAUUUCCCCAAUAGCCCCUAGUGAGCCACAUCAUCAAAACUGCAGUAAAGUCCAGGCAUUCUUUUUCAACUAACUUUCAUCUGUCUUAACUUGCUAUACUCACUUUUUUACGCAGGGAUCACAUACACUUUCAAAGUUGUGACCUAACAUUCUUUAAAAGAAUAGUUUGAUUUGAUCUGUGUUAACAAUAGCAGUGAAUCUUGGUGGUCAGUUUAAGUAGUGCCUUUUGAAUGGAACUCAUUGUAUUAAGCCAACUGCUCUAAUUCUUCCCCCAAGUUUCUCAGUGCAUUAAAUUUGUUACUAGUGAACACUUGUAUGGUCAUUAUGGCAAAACACCUGUGCUCAUCCCAAUGUCAAAGUCUUUUGUGCUAGUUGAAGUAUGGGCCCAGAUCUCUGCCUGGAUGGCAGAAAGGUCUUAGUCCUGUGCUGAUUUGCCAGGCAUGUUUAUCCUUUUCCUAGGAGGAUGCUUCAGAGAGCUCAGCAGCAGGUUGCAUCUGCACAUGCGAUGGGGUGCAAAUGAUGGAGAUAUUAGGAGAAGAUGGUCUUGAGUACAGGCUCAUGUCUGGUUUUGGCAAAAGCCAGCUUUCACAGUGAAAAUAAAGCAUGUGUAACAAUAAUAAACCAUAUAGCAAUGUAGCGAUGGCUAAUUCAAAAAAGACAAAUUAUUGCAUCAAAAGUAGAGGCUUCUUUUUGCAUUUGUUUUUAAUGAAACAGCACAUGUAUUUAUUGUUCUUAGUUACUUUGAUGUUGUAUUGAA
Pseudopipra pipra is the source of this 5572-nucleotide long non-coding RNA. RefSeq lists it as uncharacterized. The record is from RefSeq and is a predicted model, not a curated record. The transcript is spliced from 3 exons. NCBI's taxonomy places the organism in Eukaryota, Metazoa, Chordata, Aves, Passeriformes, Pipridae.